GGGAGGGUAGCGUAGUGGCCAGCGUGUUCACUAAGCGUUAAUAUCAGCGUUGAUUUCUAAGCGUUUAGCGAGAGGCCUGGGUUCGAACCCCAGCCCGCCCA
Non-coding RNA from Immersiella caudata, 101 nucleotides. The record is from the annotation of a GenBank genome assembly. Lineage: Eukaryota; Fungi; Ascomycota; Sordariomycetes; Sordariales; Lasiosphaeriaceae.